Long non-coding RNA from Mangifera indica (mango), 496 nucleotides. RefSeq lists it as uncharacterized. NCBI's taxonomy places the organism in Eukaryota, Viridiplantae, Streptophyta, Magnoliopsida, Sapindales, Anacardiaceae. The transcript has 2 exons. The record is from RefSeq and is a predicted model, not a curated record.
CGUCAGUAUUCUGGAUUUUUCUGUUGUCUUUGGCUACCUGUUGCUCUCUCGGGGACUAGUUUAAGUUUGGCCACUUCACUCAUCAACUGAAAGUGAAAGUGAAGUUACAAUCUGGGCUAAUACACACAAGUAAAACCACAAAUAUGAUGCAGCUUUCUCCUCAUAAAAUUAGGAGAAAGAUCGCCUGUCGACCCUCUGCAGUCAGCCGAGUGUGGGAUAAAUUGAAGAUUGAUGAUGAUCUGCCUGGCUCCCUGCAUGCCAACUAAGAAGCCUGUUGACAGUUGCGUCGACUCUCCCUACUUGGCAUCAGAGGAGCCAUGCAGCUCCACCAAUCAGAGCACUGUAGAAAGAAACAGGGGAGAAAUUUAUCUGCCAAAAAAACAGAGUAGCUGCCUUGAUCUUGCCUUAAUUACUCUAUGAAUUAUCAACAGUUAAGAAUUUUCAUUUCAAAGAGAAUUAUGUAUACUUCCCCUUAUAUUUGAAAUUUAGAUGUAAA